RNAcentral lists this ribosomal RNA (1259 nucleotides) under Pemphigus immunis. RNAcentral describes it as "16S large subunit ribosomal RNA". Lineage: Eukaryota; Metazoa; Arthropoda; Insecta; Hemiptera; Aphididae. The record is from RNAcentral.
AAAAUUUAUUUUAUUAAUAUAUUUUUUAUAUUUUUAUAUUUUAUAAAAAUAAUUUAUUUAUUUUAUGUUUUAGUAUUAAUUAAAAAUUAAUUUUAAGAUUUAUAGUUUAAAAGUAUUGUGAAAGAAUUAAUUAAAUUUUUUAAAGAAUAUAUUUAGUACCUUUUGUAUCAGGGUUAAUUAAAAAUUUUAAUUUAUUUUUAAAUUCUCAAAAUUUAUAGAGUUAAUUUUAUUAUUAAGUUAUUGUAAUAUAAAUAUUUAAAAAAUAAUUUUAGUUUUGAAAUUUAAUUCGUUAUAUUAUAUUUAGUUAUUUAAGAUUUAAAUUUAAUUUAAAAUUUUAAAAGUUAUAUUAAUUUAAUUUAUUAAUAUUUUAAAUUUAAAUUAUUUUAGGGAUAAGCUUGAAAUUUUUAUAAAAUAAAUUUUUUAUAUUAAUAAUUUAUAGGAAUAGAAAUUUUUAUUUAAGUUUGUAAAAAUUUAUUAUUUAUUUAAAUUUGAUUUAUUAUAAUUUAUUUAUUUUUAUUAUUAAAUUUUAUUAAUUAAUAUUAUAUUUUUAGUAAUAAUGAUUAAAUUAGUAUAAUUUUAAAUUAUAGAUUAUGAAUUUGGCAAAAAUUAUUUUCAUCUGUUUAACAAAAACAUUGUAUUAAGUUUUAUUUAAUAUAGGAUCUGCUCAAUGAUUAAUUAAAUAGCUGCAGUAUUUUGACUGUGCAAAGGUAGCAUAGUAAUUAGUCUUUUAAUUGAGGACUUGAAUGAAUGAUUUGAUGAAAAAUAAACUUUAUUAUUUAUAAAAUUAAAAUUUUAUUUUUAAGUAAAAAAGCUUAAAUUUUUUAAAGGGACGAUAAGACCCUAUAAAACUUUAUAAAUAUUAAUUUUUAAAUAUUUGGUUAAAUAAUUAUUUAAUUUUUAUUAUUUAUUUUGUUGGGGUGAUAAAAAAAUUAAUAAACUUUUUUUAAAAUUUUACAUUAUUUUAUGAUUUAUUGAAUUAAAAUUUUUAAUUAUAAGAAAAAGUUACUUUAGGGAUAACAGCGUAAUUAAUUUUUUAAGUUCAAAUUUAAAAAUUAGUUUGCGACCUCGAUGUUGAAUUAAGAUUAAUCUUAGGUGCAAAAUUUUAAGUAUUAGGUCUGUUCGACCUUUAAUUUCUUACAUGAUUUGAGUUCAAACCGGUGUAAGCCAGGUUGGUUUCUAUCUUUUAAUUAUUUAUUUAUUUUAGUACGAAAGGAUUUGAUAAUUAAAUUAAUUUUUUAAUGAAUUAAUUUUAUUAAUUU